UAUGUAGGAGGGACAAAUUUCAUCUAGGUCACUCAUGUCCCUCAACAUGAUUCGUGGAGUACCCAUCAACCAACUUUAUGGUCAUCUUGUUACAGACAAUGUUUAAAUGGUGAUAAAGCACCCGACUCCUACAUCUAGGGUACAUAGUGGUUUCAGGUCAAAGGGUGGAAUACACCACUAUCACUAUGAGAAUAUCUUAUGACAUUUUUCAUA
This 213-nucleotide long non-coding RNA is filed under the name Trifolium pratense (red clover). RNAcentral's name for it is "long non-coding RNA (TPRA_LNC013494)". The record is from RNAcentral. Lineage: Eukaryota; Viridiplantae; Streptophyta; Magnoliopsida; Fabales; Fabaceae.